GGUUCUGAAGGGAUUCUGAUUGUAACAUCUGUCACCUCCCUGCGUUCCAGGGACCACCUGAGCUAAUCUGGUUGGCUAGGAAGGUGUCUUCGUCCUCUCUUUCCUUCCACCGUAACCUUAAGCUGGGAAGCUGUGUGCUCAGUGAAAGAAGAAAAGCCUCUACCUCUUUGGUAUCAGAGGAUCUUUCUUCAGUCAAAUGUCAACAGGUAACCUCACUUGCCUGCUGGAUCUGCAAACAGGAUCUUAAGAUCUUACACUCCUCAGAGAAUGCCAGUUAUACAUAGCAGAUCUCAGCUAAAAGGCACUGCAUGCCUCCAUGG
This 320-nucleotide small nuclear RNA is filed under the name Meriones unguiculatus (Mongolian gerbil). RNAcentral describes it as "7SK RNA (ENSMUGG00000024071.1)". It matches the Rfam family "7SK RNA". Rfam says of the family: 7SK was discovered as an abundant small nuclear RNA in the mid-70s but a possible function has only recently been suggested. Two independent studies have found that 7SK RNA binds the CDK9/cyclin T complex (known as elongation factor P-TEFb). The record is from RNAcentral. Lineage: Eukaryota; Metazoa; Chordata; Mammalia; Rodentia; Muridae.